CAGUAGCCACGGUAAUACGUAGGGCGCAAGCGUUAUCCGGAAUUAUUGGGCGUAAAGAGCUCGUAGGCGGUUUGUCGCGUCUGCUGUGAAAACUGGAGGCUCAACCUCCAGCCUGCAGUGGGUACGGGCAGACUAGAGUGCGGUAGGGGAGAUUGGAAUUCCUGGUGUAGCGGUGGAAUGCGCAGAUAUCAGGAGGAACACCGAUGGCGAAGGCAGAUCUCUGGGCCGUAACUGACGCUGAGGAGCGAAAGCAUGGGGAGCGAACAGGAUUAGAUACCCCCGUAGUCCCUGUCUCUUAUAC
Molecule: ribosomal RNA, 301 nt
Filed under: uncultured bacterium
Lineage: Bacteria
Description: partial 16S ribosomal RNA
Rfam family: Bacterial small subunit ribosomal RNA
Source: RNAcentral